This is a long non-coding RNA of Homo sapiens (human), 1225 nucleotides long. RefSeq lists it as uncharacterized. The transcript is spliced from 2 exons. NCBI's taxonomy places the organism in Eukaryota, Metazoa, Chordata, Mammalia, Primates, Hominidae. The record is from RefSeq and is a predicted model, not a curated record.
AAAAAAAAAAAAAUGACAUGAGUGGGACCAAGCAGUGGGGCCUGAGGAGUGAGCAGAGCCUUCCUGGAGGAGAUGGCUUUGUGGCUGUGUGAAGGGGCUGUCUGGGUCCUCCUGGAGCCCUGGAAGGGGCAGGCGAAGGAGGGGUGGAGAAGGGUGACUGAGGCCUCAGUUAGGGGACACAGGCAUGUUCCUACCUCCGUCCGUCUCUCCACCUCCCCCUCAGGCGGUGCUGGUGAGGCUGUUGUGGCUCAGCCCCCACUUAGCAGCUCAGGUUUGAGGAAGUUCCGUGUGCACCGUCCAGGGGUGCGUGUGACGUGUGAGCCAGGAAGAAGUGGAGCUGGUCUGGCCGCCCCUGCAGGGACAGUGAAGACUGAGGCCCGGUUCUAGCCCAGGCAGGACGCCCCAAGGCCCCCCUCCACCAGCCAGGUGGAAGAUAGUCCAGGGCCAGAUCCUGCCACACUAGGGCAUCACAGUGAGUGACAGGGGUGUGGGCUUUGGAGUUAGCCAGACCUCCGUUUGUGUUCCAGCUUGUCCUGGCCUUGGACACGUAGCUCAGCUUGUCAGAGCCCUUCGUUUCCUCAGAGGUAAAGCGGGGAUGCUGGUACUGACUUCAUACAGUUGGGAGGGGGAAGCCACCUAUUCCUCAAAAACACCAAGGCCUCUGAGGAGAAAUCCCGACACCUGCCUGGCUGGUGACGCCGGAUGCCGAGGGCUCGUCUCUGGGCCCCGACCCACCUGCCUUGGGGUCAACCAAGAAAUGUCCUGACCCAGCUCUUUUUCCUGAAUCCAAAGCAUCAUCCAUGUUUGAGUAAGGCACAGUGCUUGUGAGCACCAAGGGCUUUGGAGGGACCUCCCCAUCCUCACUUGGCACUGUGUAACCCUGGCAAGAACUGGACCUCCUGACCCCCUGUCCUCACCUCUCUAGAACAGGGCAGUAACACCAACAUGACAAGAAUGUGAGGCUCACAUGCAGUCGGGCGUUUGAAAGACCUGGUUCGCGGUUGCCACGGUGCAAAUACUGGUUUCCUUUCUGUGCCGUGCUGGGGUCUGCAGAGGUCCGAGGCCCCAGACACCCCUGGGUUUUGCAUAGUUAAACAUUUGGGAUUCAGCCUUUCUCUUUUCUCUGAAUACCGUACUCUAACUUGCACUGUUACCUUGAGACGUAAUUUGUGUCCUAGUCUCUGCGGUUAGAAAGUUCACUAAAUAAAUUGAAGGUCAAGAACAA